CAGCUUUCCCCUUUCCCAGAAAAAAAAAACAAAACAAAACAAAAGGCGCUAACAAGGGAUUCUGAUAACCUCGAAAUUGGUGAAUCCGGGCAACAUCUUCAAAGCUCUCUGACCCGAUUGUCCUGCCGCAUCUGCCUGAAACGCCGCGUCCUUGAGCUUCUGAGGUGCCUGCCCGGCACGCGCUGCCCCCUGGCGACCGUCCUGCGCCCUCCUGACUGCGGGGUCGCUGGGCGGCCCUCAGCUUUCUGCCCCAGGCCCUGUCCUCGCCUCACCUGGGCUUCCUCAGCCAUCGCCUCUCCCGCCGCGGCUUCCAGUACCGUUCCAGCGUAUCCAGUCUUCUGCUUCCUGCUCAGACGUUCGGGACAUCCAGGAACCUGGCUCAGGUCGUGGAGAUGCAACCGAGACUCCCUAAUUAGCUCAGGCUCUGGCCCAGAGGACUGCAUGGCUGUAUUUAACCACCUGGGAAGUGGCGCUGGAAAGAUGCUGGCUCAGCGUCCUUUUGUCAUCAUCAGAAAAGGAUCCAUUUGGCCCUACUUUGUCAUGGAUCCAUUGCUGGAUUCAUCAUGUGCCCAGGGAAGUAGGCAGGGCCAACAUUCAGCCAGUGUGUACAGGUAUAGUCAUAAUGGUUAUACAUGGCAGGAACCUAUCCUGACUGUUGAUGCCCAUGCUGUCCUGGUUGAAGCAUUUUAA
Molecule: long non-coding RNA, 690 nt
Filed under: Vulpes vulpes (red fox)
Lineage: Eukaryota; Metazoa; Chordata; Mammalia; Carnivora; Canidae
Description: lncRNA (ENSVVUG00000012621.1)
Source: RNAcentral